This 279-nucleotide ribosomal RNA is filed under the name uncultured bacterium. RNAcentral's name for it is "partial 16S ribosomal RNA". It matches the Rfam family "Bacterial small subunit ribosomal RNA", at positions 506 to 784 of the family's 1533-position model. The record is from RNAcentral.
UGCCAGCCGCCGCGGUAAGACGUAGGAUGCGAGCGUUGUCCGGAAUUACUGGGCGUAAAGCGUACGUAGGCGGUCAUCUAAGUCUGGGGUUAAAGACCAAGGCUCAACCUUGGGAGUGCCCUGGAUACUGGGUGACUGGAGGACGGCAGAGGAAAGUGGAAUUCCCAGUGUAGCGGUGAAAUGCGUAGAUAUUGGGAGGAACACCAGUGGCGAAAGCGACUUUCUGGGCCGUUCCUGACGCUGAGGUACGAAAGCCAGGGGAGCAAACGGGAUUAGAUA